This 690-nucleotide ribosomal RNA is filed under the name Triticum aestivum (bread wheat). Its description in RNAcentral is "partial small subunit ribosomal RNA". Lineage: Eukaryota; Viridiplantae; Streptophyta; Magnoliopsida; Poales; Poaceae. The record is from RNAcentral.
AUGGAUGCUCUGGAGGUGAUUCCCCCACGGGAUUACCCCGAGGAGAAACCAUGCGCGGAUGUAUAUGGUGAGUCACAACACCAUUCCCUGACGACAUCGACGACGGACAUGGAUGUCAUCUCCAAGGUGCUCGACGAUGACAACCUCCUCAGAGAGAUCAUCCUUUGUGUCGGCUUCCCGACCACCCUCAUCUGUGCCUCCCUCGUCUGCAAGCGUUGGUACCACCACGCCUCCGACCGCAAGUUCCUCAGCCGUUUCCAUGAGCACAACCCGUCCCACCUCCUAGGCUUCUACCUCGAGGACACCGAUGACCCAAGCGUGGCUGCACACUUCUAUCCGAUGCUGCCUCAACCUGCAGAGCUUGCCACUGUCAUCCGUAGUGCAAGAUUUAGCUUGGACCCCCACCAGAGUGAAAUGUCCGACAUGAUGGGCUGCCGGAACAGCAACGUACUCAUCAGUUUGUACGACUGCAGAGAUUUUACAGUUGGAGUGCACAACACGUUGCACCCCGAGAGAAGUUUGGCGGUCCUCCCGCCAUUCCCAGAGUUGCAAAUUCAGGACGGCUAUUUCUGUGGUAUGAAUGAUCUCCUCCUCUCCAAAGAGGAAGGCGAUGGCUUGUCCUACAUUUAUGUGUUGGUGGAGUCUACAACAGAGAGGACCAAAUCUAUGAUGCACAUAGAUGUGCUGUGA